RNAcentral lists this long non-coding RNA (258 nucleotides) under Lathyrus oleraceus (garden pea). Its description in RNAcentral is "Pisum sativum (pea) long non-coding RNA (PSAT_LNC015305)". The record is from RNAcentral. Lineage: Eukaryota; Viridiplantae; Streptophyta; Magnoliopsida; Fabales; Fabaceae.
UUCUUUUUUAUUUUAUAUUUUAUAUAUUAAAUUGUCAUAUCAUUGGUUGGGAUUGAUACUAUGUGAGAAGCUAAAACCAGGCUUGAUAAAAAACAAUAAGCUUAAGUAAGGGGUCUUUGAUGACGAUUCUACCUAGAGUAGAUCAAUUUAAAAGAUUUGUCAUGAGAAGACUAACACUUCUUUAUGAUGGUACUUUGAAUUUGAUCCAUGACUCUAGGGACCUCUUUUAGAAUAUCCUCAAAUCGGGGUGACCUUAUG